AUAGCUGAAUGCCUGGCAGAUCCCCCCGUGUCACUGGUCCUCGGUGCGUGACCGUUGUGUGCUGGGGGUGCACGGGUCGUGGAGGAACUGUUGUUUUAACAGCGUGAAAUGGACUGUGAAUAAGGCUCCUUUUUCCUUUUGGCGCAUCAUGAUCACAAAUACUUAGCAAGAAUUACCAAACAGCAUAAAUUCCUAACCCCCGAAGAAAGCUCUGUGCCUGGAAUAAGGAUCUUAUGCAAAAAAAUUGCUUCAGUGGGUUGAAAAUGAGCUACCAAGUGGGGUGCAGGAUGGCAGCCCCAGCAUCAGGACUAACAAGACUUACUACUAUAACUAGAAGAACAGAGAAGCCAUAAAACAAGACGAUGUUGUGAGAUCAAGAGGAGCAAAUGUGCCAAAUCAGCAUUGAGUUGUUUAAUUGCUGGAUUUAGAGACUUCUUUUCCAUGAAAGACAUCCUUUUUUCUUCUUGCCAAGGGCAGCCCUUCUUCAGAGACUCUCUCAAGAAAAACUUCGUGACUAGCAAAAAUUCUUCUC
Nothoprocta perdicaria is the source of this 532-nucleotide long non-coding RNA. RefSeq lists it as uncharacterized. Lineage: Eukaryota; Metazoa; Chordata; Aves; Tinamiformes; Tinamidae. The record is from RefSeq and is a predicted model, not a curated record. The transcript has 4 exons.